CGGGAAUUUUCCGCAAUGGGCGAAAGCCUGACGGAGCAACGCCGCGUGAGUGAGGACGGCCUUCGGGUUGUAAAACUCUGUUCUUGAGGAAGAAUUCCUUCCAGGCGAACAGCCUGGAAGGUUGACGGUACUCAAGGAGAAAGCCCCGGCUAACUACGUGCCAGCAGCCGCGGUAAUACGUAGGGGGCGAGCGUUAUCCGGAAUUAUUGGGCGUAAAGCGCGCGCAGGCGGCUUGUUAAGUCAGGUGUGAAAGGCUGCGGCUCAACCGCAGAGCGGCACCUGAAACUGGUCGGCUUGAGUGCAGGAGAGGGGAGCGGAAUUCCCGGUGUAGCGGUGGAAUGCGUAGAGAUCGGGAGGAACACCAGUGGCGAAGGCGGCUCUCUGGCCUGUAACUGACGCUGAGGCGCGAAAGCGUGGGGAGCAAAC
Molecule: ribosomal RNA, 426 nt
Filed under: uncultured bacterium
Lineage: Bacteria
Description: bacterial SSU rRNA
Rfam family: Bacterial small subunit ribosomal RNA
Source: RNAcentral